GGGGCCAGCAAUGAGAUCAGUAAGGGAGAUCACACCGCCACAGCUUCACCCACGUCCCGGGAGAAUCUACCAGCCCCUUAUUUCAACCUGAAAGCUUUUGAAAUGUACUUCUGUGUGGAGUGAGGGAAGGCAAAGAGAAAGAUGCUUCUCACUUUUGAGCCUUUGGCCCUGUGGAAGUGGACUACAUUACCUAUCAUCAUGCUAAGGACUCAAAAAAGCAUGAGGACAGACAGAGUUCCUGCCUCUGACAAGCAAUGUACGUCAUCAAAGAGCAACAACCCUGGGACACAAUA
Long non-coding RNA from Felis catus (domestic cat), 293 nucleotides. RefSeq lists it as uncharacterized. The transcript is spliced from 3 exons. NCBI's taxonomy places the organism in Eukaryota, Metazoa, Chordata, Mammalia, Carnivora, Felidae. The record is from RefSeq and is a predicted model, not a curated record.